This 506-nucleotide ribosomal RNA is filed under the name uncultured Acidobacteriota bacterium. RNAcentral's name for it is "bacterial SSU rRNA". It matches the Rfam family "Bacterial small subunit ribosomal RNA", at positions 8 to 522 of the family's 1533-position model. Lineage: Bacteria; Pseudomonadati; Acidobacteriota. The record is from RNAcentral.
AGAGUUUGAUCCUGGCUCAGAAUCAACGCUGGCGGCAUGCCUAACACAUGCAAGUCGAGCGAGAAAGUGUAGCAAUACAUGAGUAAAGCGGCGCACGGGUGAGUAACACGUGGAUAACCUGCCUCAAAGUGGGGAAUAACACCGGGAAACCGGUGCUAAUACCGCAUAUUCUGAUGAGAUCUGUGGAUUUUGUCAGUAAAGGAGCAAUUCGCUAUGAGAGGGGUCCGCGGCUGAUUAGCUAGUUGGUGAGGUAAUGGCUCACCAAGGCAACGAUCAGUAGCCGGUCUGAGAGGACGGUCGGCCACACUGGAACUGAGACACGGUCCAGACUCCUACGGGAGGCAGCAGUGGGGAAUUUUUCGCAAUGGGGGCAACCCUGACGAAGCAAUGCCGCGUGGAUGAUAAAGUAUUUCGGUACGUAAAAUCCUUUCGACGGGGACGAAACCGCAAGGUUGACGGUACCCGUAGAAGAAGCCCCGGCUAACUCCGUGCCAGCAGCCGCGGUA